GAUGAACGCUGGCGGCGUGCCUUACACAUGCAAGUCGAACGGCAGCGCGAGAAAGCUUGCUUUCUUGGCGGCGAGUGGCGAACGGGUGAGUAAUGUAUCGGAACGUGCCCAGUAGCGGGGGAUAACUGGCCGAAAGGUCAGCUAAUACCGCAUACGCCCUACGGGGAAAGGGGGGGAGUCGCAAGACCUCUCACUAUUGGAGCGGCCGAUAUCAGAUUAGCUAGUUGGUGGGGUAAAGGCCGUACCAAGGCAACGAUCUGUAGCUGGUUUGAGAGGACGACCAGCCACACUGGGACUGAGACACGGCCCAGACUCCUACGGGAGGCAGCAGUGGGGAAUUUUGGACAAUGGGGGGAACCCUGAUCCAGCCAUCCCGCGUGUGCGAUGAAGGCCUUCGGUUGUAAGCACUUUGGUCAGGAAGAAACGGACCUGGGAGUAAUACCUUGGCGUAAUGACGGUACCUGCAGAAUAAGACACCGGCUAACUACGUGCCACGCAGCCGCGGU
Molecule: ribosomal RNA, 506 nt
Filed under: uncultured bacterium
Lineage: Bacteria
Description: bacterial SSU rRNA
Rfam family: Bacterial small subunit ribosomal RNA
Source: RNAcentral